CCAGUUGACCCCACACAUAGCUGAAGAGUCAGCCAGCUGAGCCCGGCCCCAACUGCUGACAGAGCUUCUGGUGCAGCCCAGACACAGGAUACAGAAAGUCAACUUGGUACAGGUUUGGCUCCUUUGAUGAGUGUUUUCCUAGCUGCACUUUGGGAGAAAAGAAGGCAGAGCACCCCCAUGUGCGGGCACACCCACAGAGCAGUGUCUGCAAACCUGCUUUGGCACAGCACACAAGAAGCCUGGUCUGGGAGCCUCCACAUCAGUACACAGAGUGCUUCUGCAGCCUUUGAUGGACAUGAGUUUGCACCAGAGCAGCUGCAGAGGUGAGACGUGGGUUCUCCGCGUCACCCUCCAUCUGCAUCACAUCUGGAUGGGAAAACUGAAGAGUCCAGGAGGGAACACUCUCUCCCGCAUUCACGGGCUGCCUGACACCACAGCUUAUAAUAGCAGGCGCUGUCUCCACUGCUAUGAGAAACGUAGCCCUGGCCUGAAGGUAUCAGAGGUGGCAAGACCUAGAAAAGCUCCAAUAGGAGUCAGGCUGCCUUCUGCAGGCAGAACCGCUUGCGUGCUCUAUGAAACACUGGAUCGCUUGAUGCCCUGGCUGAGAAAGAGCUUCACUGUAGAGUAAGGGGGAGAAAGCCAUUACACAGCGUAUUGUCACUGCUGCAUGUAUAUUGUACACUGAACACUUUUUAGGGGAGCCAUUUUAUCCUUAUCUCUGCGAAUGACACCUGGAGCUGUGCAGUGCACAACCUGUGCAACCUCACAUGGCACCCCAUUUUUACAGAUAUGAGGUAAAAUAAAAAUGCAAAGGUACACAUACAAUGUUAGAAGUGGCAUAUUAAUGGUGAUUUUUGUUUUCUUCUCUGAGCUUUCCCUGCAUUUUCCAAUGGUUUUUCUAUAGUGAAGAGGCUUGCAAAACACGCCAGGCCCAGUUGCAAGUGCCUAGUAUGUAUUAACUCUGCUAAGAUACACAACAAUUCUAUAAGGUAGGCAGCAGUAGAAUCCCCACCUCAGAGAUGAGAACUCUGAGGUGCCAAGACAUCAUGAAACUUGUCCAAGGAGCUACCAGGAGACCCAGCUGGCCACCACCAGCUCUGCAUUUUCAAUCACCAAUGUUCACGUGCCUCCCAGUUGCAAAGAAUCCUUCCUUCAUAAAUUUGUUCUGGUUCUAUAUUGUCUUGAAUGUACUCACUAGAAGAGAUAAAUACCUGUUUGGCAUUUGUAUGAGUCUGUUUUCACACUGCUAUGAAUAACUCCCUGAGACUGGGUCAUUUAUGAAGAAAAGGGGUUUACACAAUGCACAGUUCUGCAGGCUUAACAGGAAGCAUGGCUGGGAGGCCUCAGGAAACUUAAAAUUGUAGUGGAAGGCAAAGAAAAAGCAAGCACAUCUUACCACGGCACAGCAGGAGAGAGAGAGCAUGAAGCGGGAGGU
RNAcentral lists this long non-coding RNA (1435 nucleotides) under Pan troglodytes (chimpanzee). Its description in RNAcentral is "lncRNA (ENSPTRG00000053825.1)". The record is from RNAcentral. Lineage: Eukaryota; Metazoa; Chordata; Mammalia; Primates; Hominidae.